RNAcentral lists this long non-coding RNA (222 nucleotides) under Carica papaya (papaya). RNAcentral describes it as "long non-coding RNA (CPAP_LNC005455)". The record is from RNAcentral. Lineage: Eukaryota; Viridiplantae; Streptophyta; Magnoliopsida; Brassicales; Caricaceae.
AACCGGUCAUCCAAAUUAUUUGUUCCCUUAGUCUGAGACUAAUCGCCAUUGAUACCUCCUUAGCUCAAACAAUUACAUAUUUGAGCUGCCUUGGAUGGUUGUAUGCUGAUGCGUCACGCAUUCAAAAGACCCUAUUUAAAUGGUUAGCAACAACAAAUAUGUAUAUGCGUAGAGAAUUAAAUAAAUACUUGCAUUUAAACAAAAUUAAAAUUAAUUCAAUUC